GACAGAGGAUGCAAGCGUUAUCCGGAAUGAUUGGGCGUAAAGCGUCUGUAGGUGGCUUUUUAAGUCUGCCGUCAAAUCCCAGGGCUUAACCCUGGACAGGCGGUGGAAACUACCAAGCUGGAGUACGGUAGGGGCAGGGGGAAUUUCCGGUGGAGCGGUGAAAUGCGUAGAGAUCGGAAAGAACACCAACGGCGAAAGCACUCUGCUGGGCCGACACUGACGCUGAUGCGCGAAAGCAAGGGGAGCGAACGGG
Molecule: ribosomal RNA, 253 nt
Filed under: uncultured bacterium
Lineage: Bacteria
Description: partial 16S ribosomal RNA
Rfam family: Bacterial small subunit ribosomal RNA
Source: RNAcentral